RNAcentral lists this long non-coding RNA (205 nucleotides) under Panax ginseng (ginseng). RNAcentral's name for it is "long non-coding RNA (PGIN_LNC007442)". Lineage: Eukaryota; Viridiplantae; Streptophyta; Magnoliopsida; Apiales; Araliaceae. The record is from RNAcentral.
ACACUUUUCUUAUGGCUUUCUAUUAUCGCCUUAUGGUUAACCAACCAAUCCAUACCAAGAAUAACAUCGAAUUCUUUUAACCUUAUCAGUACCAAAUCUAUCGAUAACUUAUUCCCUCUAAUAUCUACGCAACAAUCCUUAUGAAUAUGUUCAAUGGGGAUUAUCUCUUCGUUUGCUACCUUAACGUCUAAAUGUAUUGGUAACU